GAGUACGUCGACGUUAGGUAGCCGAGACGAAUCGUAGAAAUCUCAUAAUGAAUUAAUAAUAUACUAUAAGGCAUUUUCCUAAAGACAUGUAUUAUUAGCAAUCCCAAUUAUUAUAAAAAUAACUAUAGUUAUCCAUAAAUGCUGCAUUUACACAGAAUAAUGUUAUUAUUGAUAAGUGCUGAUAGAUUAUUAUACAGAGCGUUAUUUUCGGAAUUAUAUAAUGGCAUAAUAUCAUUGAUUUUGUGUUUAUUAUAUGCUCUUGUAUGAUUAACAAUGCGAAAGAUUCAGGAUACUUCGGGACCCGUCUUGAAACACGGACCAAGGAGUCUAACAUAUGUGCAAGUUAUUGGGAUGUAAACCUAAUAGCGUAAUUAACUUGACUAAUAAUGGGAUUAGUUUUUUAGCUAUUUAUAGCUAAUUAACACAAUCCCGGGGCGUUCUAUAUAGUUAUGUAUAAUGUAUAUUUAUAUUAUUUAUGCCUCUAACUGGAACGUACCUUGAGCAUAUAUGCUGUGACCCGAAAGAUGGUGAACUAUACUUGAUCAGGUUGAAGUCAGGGGAAACCCUGAUGGAAGACCGAAACAGUUCUGACGUGCAAAUCGAUUGUCAGAAUUGAGUAUAGGGGCGAAAGACCAAUCGAACCAUCUAGUAGCUGGUUCCUUCCGAAGUUUCCCUCAGGAUAGCUGGUGCAUUUUAAUAUUAUAUAAAAUAAUCUUAUCUGGUAAAGCGAAUGAUUAGAGGCCUUAGGGUCGAAACGAUCUUAACCUAUUCUCAAACUUUAAAUGGGUAAGAACCUUAACUUUCUUGAUAUGAAGUUCAAGGUUAUGAUAUAAUGUGCCCAGUGGGCCACUUUUGGUAAGCAGAACUGGCGCUGUGGGAUGAACCAAACGUAAUGUUACGGUGCCCAAAUUAACAACUCAUGCAGAUACCAUGAAAGGCGUUGGUUGCUUAAAACAGCAGGACGGUGAUCAUGGAAGUCGAAAUCCGCUAAGGAGUGUGUAACAACUCACCUGCCGAAGCAACUAGCCCUUAAAAUGGAUGGCGCUUAAGUUGUAUACCUAUACAUUACCGCUAAAGUAGAUGAUUUAUAUUACUUGUGAUAUAAAUUUUGAAACUUUAGUGAGUAGGAAGGUACAAUGGUAUGCGUAGAAGUGUUUGGCGUAAG
RNAcentral lists this non-coding RNA (1165 nucleotides) under Drosophila simulans. Its description in RNAcentral is "Eukaryotic large subunit ribosomal RNA". It matches the Rfam family "Eukaryotic large subunit ribosomal RNA", at positions 386 to 1421 of the family's 3401-position model. The record is from Rfam by way of RNAcentral. Lineage: Eukaryota; Metazoa; Arthropoda; Insecta; Diptera; Drosophilidae.